GUUCAGGGAUAGCUCAGAUAGCAGAACAUGAGACUCUUAAUCUCAGGGUUGUGUGUUCGAGUCCCACAUUGGGUUGGACU
Podarcis lilfordi (Lilford's wall lizard) is the source of this 80-nucleotide non-coding RNA. Lineage: Eukaryota; Metazoa; Chordata; Lepidosauria; Squamata; Lacertidae. The record is from the annotation of a GenBank genome assembly.